AGGGUGGAAAUGCAUGGCUGGAAUUGAGGGACAUCCAGGGUUUCUGUCCUAUUUUCACACCCAGAAAAGAAAAUGUCUGGAGCUGGAUUCUGAUGUCUCAGGGAGACCUGGCCAUGUUUCCCUGUGUUCUCCUGAAAGUAUGAGACCCCUGAGACCCAAAAGAAGGGUCAGUGAAUACAAGCAUCAGAAACACACUCCACCUUGGAGUGGGGCUCAGCCUCUCUGGUGACCCACUCCCUCAUCACAUGGCCAUCAUCCUGGGACCAGGACCCCCGCUCUAUGGCCACACCACCAUUAACCCAAUGCCUCUGGACAGAUGUAUUUUAUCUUCUUGAAAGGACUGUCCAGCAAUCCUCUCCCAGUGACUCCCUCAGAUAAUUCCACCUGCCUGAUGCCUGGGAUUCUUUAGGGUGGUGAUUCAGUUCAAGGAGACUCCCCAGAGCUCACAGGAAGAGGAUCUGGAAAGAAUCUGAGGAGCUGAGCUGGACGACUGUGGAGUAAGGAUCAAAAGACCCUCUGAGGAAUGAGAAUUAAGAGUAGAAGUCUUGCCACCUGCUUCCAGGAUGAAGUCAGGAAGGGCACUGGACAAUGACUAGGGUCUGAAAGCU
This is a long non-coding RNA of Canis lupus familiaris (dog), 608 nucleotides long. RefSeq lists it as uncharacterized. The transcript is spliced from 3 exons. NCBI's taxonomy places the organism in Eukaryota, Metazoa, Chordata, Mammalia, Carnivora, Canidae. The record is from RefSeq and is a predicted model, not a curated record.